AUUGAUAGAGGUUGCGUCUUUCAAAAGUAGAUCGUCGGAUGCCUGCGGGGCAAAGGAGGGCGGAAGAAAGGGGAAGAUGCCGAAGGGGCAGGAUUCCGGCAGAUGCUGUUCCUGGGCAUGGGGUGAACAAGUCCAUGACUGUCAUCGGAAGAUGGAGAGCUAUCAG
This 166-nucleotide non-coding RNA is filed under the name human gut metagenome. RNAcentral's name for it is "Lysine riboswitch". It matches the Rfam family "Lysine riboswitch aptamer". Rfam says of the family: Riboswitches are metabolite binding domains within certain messenger RNAs that serve as precision sensors for their corresponding targets. Allosteric rearrangement of mRNA structure is mediated by ligand binding, and this results in modulation of gene expression. The record is from RNAcentral.